UGAGCUUGAUCCUGGCUCAGGACGAACGCUGGCGGCGUGCCUAAUACAUGCAAGUCGAGCGCAGGAAGCCGGCGGAUCCCUUCGGGGUGAAGCCGGUGGAAUGAGCGGCGGACGGGUGAGUAACACGUGGGCAACCUACCUUGUAGACUGGGAUAACUCCGGGAAACCGGGGCUAAUACCGGAUGAUCAUUUGGAUCGCAUGAUCCGAAUGUAAAAGUGGGGAUUUAUCCUCACACUGCAAGAUGGGCCCGCGGCGCAUUAGCUAGUUGGUAAGGUAAUGGCUUACCAAGGCGACGAUGCGUAGCCGACCUGAGAGGGUGAUCGGCCACACUGGAACUGAGACACGGUCCAGACUCCUACGGGAGGCAGCAGUAGGGAAUCAUCCGCAAUGGGCGAAAGCCUGACGGUGCAACGCCGCGUGAACGAUGAAGGUUUUCGGAUCGUAAAGUUCUGUUAUGAGGGAAGAACAAGUGCCGUUCGAAUAGGUCGGCACCUUGACGGUACCUCACGAGAAAGCCCCGGCUAACUACGUGCCAGCAGCCCGCUUU
This 548-nucleotide ribosomal RNA is filed under the name Bacillus sp. M4-C13. RNAcentral describes it as "bacterial SSU rRNA". It matches the Rfam family "Bacterial small subunit ribosomal RNA", at positions 1 to 521 of the family's 1533-position model. The record is from RNAcentral. Lineage: Bacteria; Bacillati; Bacillota; Bacilli; Caryophanales; Bacillaceae.